GAUGAAGAACGCAGCAAAAUGCGAUAAGUAAUGUGAAUUGCAGAAUUCAGUGAAUCAUCGAAUCUUUGGACGCACAUUGCGCCCGCCAGUAUUCUGGCGGGCAUGCCUGUUCGAGCGUCAUUUCAACCCUCAAGCACAGCUUGGUGUUGGGACUCGCGUUAAUUCGCGUUCCCCAAAUUGAUUGGCGGUCACGUCGAGCUUCCAUAGCGUAGUAGUAAAACCCUCGUUACUGGUAAUCGUCGCGGCCACGCCGUUAAACCCCAACUUCUGAAUGUUGACCUCGGAUCAGGUAGGAAUACCCGCUGAACUUAAGCAUAUCAAUAAGCGGAGGA
RNAcentral lists this unclassified non-coding RNA (332 nucleotides) under soil metagenome. Its description in RNAcentral is "partial contains 5.8S ribosomal RNA, internal transcribed spacer 2, and large subunit ribosomal RNA". The stretch from base 1 to 120 matches the Rfam family "5.8S ribosomal RNA", at positions 35 to 154 of the family's 154-position model. The record is from RNAcentral.